CCAUAGCUAUGAAAACCAGAUAUAUUAAUUUAACUUACAGUAUCACCUUAACUCAAAGUCAGAUAUUUAAAACAUGUGGUAUUAAAAUACAUGUGCAGUACGAACAAGCAGUCUCGCCAGUUGAUCAACGUGAUCGGCCAUUUGUUAAGGUUCACACCCAAAGAGAGCGCAUGCGUCAAGGAAGCUAUGGAGUGGAAGUUGCCACUUGAUUAGGAAUUUUUUUAAACGAAGUCGUUCCCAGUAGAUGGAUUAACAAGCUGUGUUCCUUGCUUUAAAACCGUAACACACCGCACUAGCAAGACGAGAGGCGGCACUACAUUAUAAACAGCUUUUCUUCCAGGUUCUUCUUAGCCAUUUAUCGUACUUUCCAUAACGUCUCAGUAACAACAUUCUCCUUACUCCUUCAUCCAUUUUUCAUAAACCAAGUUGGGAG
Molecule: long non-coding RNA, 433 nt
Organism: Orbicella faveolata
Lineage: Eukaryota; Metazoa; Cnidaria; Anthozoa; Scleractinia; Merulinidae
Source: RefSeq, a predicted model, not a curated record